GCAUGGAAGAGGAAGCAAGAGAGGUCCUAAGCGCAAUAGGAAUGGGAACAUGAAGGAACGUAAUGCCCUAGUCUCGUUCUUCUCUAUAGUUUGGAGAUGGACAUUUCACUCGUCGUGUUCCUGAUGCCUCCCAUUCCUAUGGUUCUUAGGUGCUCCUUCCUCUUCCUUUCACUA
This 174-nucleotide microRNA precursor is filed under the name Sorghum bicolor (sorghum). Its description in RNAcentral is "pre miRNA MIR2118". It matches the Rfam family "MIR2118 microRNA precursor family". Lineage: Eukaryota; Viridiplantae; Streptophyta; Magnoliopsida; Poales; Poaceae. The record is from Rfam by way of RNAcentral.